GCAGUGUCAGCUAGCCACCGGCGGACACUUACCACGGCCCAUAGGGUUGAAAGUUUCCAAGGGGUCCCGCCUUUCUGUCCGUGGGACUCCACCAACUUGGUUUCACACCUACGCCCCCAACGUUGGAUCUUGGUCACAAAUGUUCCAGGACCGCGAAGGCUUUUGUGUGUUUAUUUGAGAUCUGCGACCUGUAGCUGGAGCGCCGGACGCCAUUGUCGUCUCCUGCUGUGGUGACCUUGUUAAGAGUGCAGAUCGAUUGGUAUCCUAUAAGGUCGUGAUGUUCAGCUGCAUGCUCCUGGCUGAUAGCAGAAGCCUCCCGUCCCAACUGGGUUCCUCUUUAGCCUCGUUGAUGAGAAUGUCGAUCUAGACUCCCAUCGUUGUUAUACUCCUCUCAGGAGCUCGAAAGCAUUCGACUUACCGUAGCCUCGUGCCUUGAUCAUUAAAAUUCUUGAGCAUACUUAAUCUGAUUUUUCAAAUUUGAUCUUCUGAAGGCUUUCAACUUUAGAGCUCUCACAUAGUAUUGAAGUUUAAAAUUCAAAAUGAGUCGGCCGUGAUUUGGGGAGGCCCUCUGUAUUCGCCGCUACCUACCUGAUUGGCUAUGCACACUAGGGCUGAUCUUGCCAGUUGGGCAAUCAACAACGCUGAUGAGUUCGUAAACAACCAUAUAAUAACCUCCAUUUUCCAACAGAAGUACCAGAAUUUGCUGGAUGACUCAAUCUCGACUGUACAAAAAAAUCCGAACCCGUCGACCGACGUACAAAGGGAAAUGUCCAUCAAGAUAUAAUCCAAAUAUGAAUCAGCCGAGCGACCUUGCGAGGGACAUGUUUAUUAAUGAAUUGUUUGGAUGAGGUAUUUUGCGUAUUUACGUAAUAUUUUGGAGCAAAAUAUUGUAUUAUUUGACUAUUUGAGAAUGUGAUAUUUAUGACGUAUUUAACAGGGUUCCUUUUUAGCCUCGCUGAUGAGAAUGAACCUGCAUUUUUUGUUGCUCUUAUUUUAUACAAUCAUGCAAUGAGGGGGA
RNAcentral lists this long non-coding RNA (1018 nucleotides) under Linum usitatissimum (flax). RNAcentral describes it as "long non-coding RNA (LUSI_LNC006900)". Lineage: Eukaryota; Viridiplantae; Streptophyta; Magnoliopsida; Malpighiales; Linaceae. The record is from RNAcentral.